GAAAGCCUGAUGCAGCAACGCCGCGUGAGGGAUGACGGCCUUCGGGUUGUAAACCUCUUUUAGUAGGGAAGAAGCGAAAGUGACGGUACCUGCAGAAAAAGCACCGGCUAACUACGUGCCAGCAGCCGCGGUAAUACGUAGGGCGCAAGCGUUGUCCGGAAUUAUUGGGCGUAAAGAGCUCGUAGGCGGUUUGUCGCGUCUGCUGUGAAAUCCCGAGGCUCAACCUCGGGCCUGCAGUGGGUACGGGCAGACUAGAGUGCGGUAGGGGAGAUUGGAAUUCCUGGUGUAGCGGUGGAAUGCGCAGAUAUCAGGAGGAACACCGAUGGCGAAGGCAGAUCUCUGGGCCGUAACUGACGCUGAGGAGCGAAAGGGUGGGGAGCAAACAGGAUUAGAUACCCUGGUAGUCCACCCCGUAAACGUUGGGAGCUAGAUGUAGGACCAUUCCACGGUUUCCGUGACGCAGCUAACGCA
Molecule: ribosomal RNA, 471 nt
Filed under: Mycetocola sp.
Lineage: Bacteria; Bacillati; Actinomycetota; Actinomycetes; Micrococcales; Microbacteriaceae
Description: bacterial SSU rRNA
Rfam family: Bacterial small subunit ribosomal RNA
Source: RNAcentral